UACGGAGGGUGCAAACGUUGCUCGGAAUCAUUGGGCGUAAAGCGCGCCUAGGCGGCUUGACAAGUUGGAUGUGAAAGCCCUGGGCUCAACCCAGGAUGUGCAUUCAAAACUGUCUGGCUUGAAUCUCGGAGGGGGUCAGGGAAUUCCCGGUGUAGAGGUGAAAUUCGUAGAUAUCGGGAGGAACACCAGUGGCGAAGGCGCUGACCUGGACGAUGAUUGACGCUGAGGCGCGAAAGCGUGUGGAGCAAAUAGG
RNAcentral lists this ribosomal RNA (253 nucleotides) under uncultured bacterium. RNAcentral describes it as "partial 16S ribosomal RNA". It matches the Rfam family "Bacterial small subunit ribosomal RNA", at positions 524 to 776 of the family's 1533-position model. The record is from RNAcentral.